AAUAAGUAAGCCUUUAGAGCCUAUUAACCGUGUGCACAGGAGUAACACGUUAGCAGAGCAACGUGAUUUACGGAAACUUUUCUUAAACAGGUAUCCGCGCAUACUCUGUACAUCACGGAUGAUUCAAACGUGGCUAUGUUCCCCGGUGCGGUCUCUGGUGUUUUCAGCGCAUUAGACCUUACACCCAGAGGUCACUAUGAAGUCCACGGAGAAGACAUGGAGUCAAUUCCAACAGCAGGUUCCAGCGGGCAGCGUUUUGCAUUUAUGCGAGCACCAGCUGUGGCAGCGUCUGCACCUUCACGUUCACAGCAGGCUACUUCAAGUUCCCCUAUGUCCUCCAAAACAUUUCAGAGAUCAGUGUACUUUGCAGAUGUAGUUGGUGGGAGGUUGAUUCCCAAUAGAAUGGUGGUUGUACGAUUCCUGGAGUCUGAGGCUACGCUUCAAGGGAUAGUAGGAAAAGUGCAAGAUGCCAUUGGUAAUUACAACCCAAUAAUUUUGACAGAUGCACAGGGCAAUGCAAUUCUGGAGUCGGAGGGCACAACAGGGUCACAGUACUGGAGACAAAAUGCACGAAAAAUUCUUGCUGUGCCUGAACAAGACUUUAAUUGCCUCCAGGGAACAAAGAGGAAGAAACUGAGCAGCCGUAAAGAUGAUGACAGUGCCAGUUUGGGAGAAGUGAGUGACAAAAUAGAAGAGUUGGUGUUGGCAUCUCAAAGUCUGCCAGCUGUCACAGCAGCAAUCAAAGAGCUCACUGAUCUUGCAGUUGCCCAGAAAGUCACAACCCCCAAGCUGCAGACACUCAAGGAGGGAUUUAGCUG
Molecule: long non-coding RNA, 818 nt
Organism: Astatotilapia calliptera (eastern happy)
Lineage: Eukaryota; Metazoa; Chordata; Actinopteri; Cichliformes; Cichlidae
Source: Ensembl